GUCAAAAAGCCAAGCACUCAUCUGUGUGGGUGGGUACACUUGCAAAAUCUUGCUUUAUUUGCCUGUAUACAAAUUUCUUCUCCCAGUAAUCCUUCUGAAAUUCAGUGUGUGGAAUGGGUAGUGCUUCAUUAGACUCGCUUUAUUCUUUAGAGAGCAGAGUAAAUAACACAAAAAGCAAUGAGAUUAAGGUUACAAAGGCAGCUUUGAUUUUGGCAAUUCAACUUUCAUUUUGGCAAUACCUAAUUUUUAUUUCUUGUCUUAGCAAACUUAAUGAGUUGAGACUUUGAAUUUUUUAAUACAGCUUUUAUUUUGUGUUGUGGGAAAUAUGUUGGGAAUUUACCUUAAUAUACUACAAUAAAUGACCAGAAUGCUAUCUUCUUUAGCAGUAUGUACUGUACUGAGUUACUAAGUUCUACAUUGCUAUACACUAUGUACGUGCCAUACAGUACAUGGCUAUAUAAAAGUUCACAUAUUUCUUCCUUAGGUCCUGUGGCAUACAGACCCUUUAGAGUUAUGGGCUUCAGCUCCAUCACAACAUCCAUACAUGUAUUGGUGGUGUCUUGACUGAACCACGCUGGUGUACACUGAAUUGGAGAGUCAGGAUCAAGUAUUCAAAACCAGACAUCAGUUGAGUGAACAUCACAAACAAAUCCAUCAUGAAGAAGCACCAAACCCACAAAUGAAAGAGAGGAAGAGAAGAACAAAGUCUGAAGAGAAUCCUGUGUGUUUCAACACAAAAGCAACUUGAAAGUAGAAUUCAAGCUAAUUUAAAUGCAGUAUCUACAUACCUACAGUAGGUCUGCAGAGUGCUACCAAAAUAAAUGGAUCCUCAGUAUUGGUUGAAUGGAAACCUUAAAUUCAGAGAAGCUUAUGUUCCAAAUUGAAUUCAGAAGAGCUUGGGCCUUCACACUGCCUGACAUCACACGGCUGAUGAGGUGUUCGGCUGUAGUUUUUGCUGCUCUUCUUCCCCUGACAAACAACUUCUCUGAAAAUACAUUAAGAAAUAUCACCCGAGUUCAGGAAUCUCAUUAAUUAGUUCCCAGGUCAUCUUUACUCUCAAACCACUCCCUGUAGAACAUUAGGUUCUUAAACUUCUACCUAAGCAUUCCAGCAAAGAAAGAAGUUGUUGGCAUUGUCAGGCUUUCAUGUUGAAAGCCAGGGAUUAUAUAUAAGAGGAGAAGAAAUUGUUCUUACGUGGCAAUUAAAAGCACUUAAGAGUGGUCUUUCCAAAGUGCUUUGCAUGGGGUAUGGUACAGGUGAUAACUCCAACGUGCUGAGAGGAUUCAGGGGAUUUGUCCUGUCCAAGGGAUAAAUGUGUUGAUUUCUGUUCUAGUUACCUCCUGCUGAUACAUUCUUCUUACUUAAAAAUGGAGAGAUUGAAUUUCAAAGCAGAAUCAGUUGAAACGUGUCAAAGCUGACUGUGAACCUUACAAGUGCUUUCUUCUUUUUGUCUUUAAUUUUUAACACAAUCUCUAUAUAAAACAGUAAGUGAUUCAAGAAAAUAUACUGAUGCUGUAGAAUUCAGUGGAGUAAACAUUUCUUCGUUGUUACUUUUUAUAAUAAAAUGAGUAUGUUAUCAUAGGCUUAUCCA
This 1591-nucleotide long non-coding RNA is filed under the name Cyanistes caeruleus (blue tit). Its description in RNAcentral is "lncRNA (ENSCCEG00000003034.1)". The record is from RNAcentral. Lineage: Eukaryota; Metazoa; Chordata; Aves; Passeriformes; Paridae.